CCUACGGGAGGCAGCAGUGGGGGAUUUUGGACAAUGGGCGAAAGCCUGAUCCAGCGACGCCGCGUGGAGGACGAAGCCCUUCGGGGUGUAAACUCCUUUUCUCAGGGAAAAAGGAUGAUGGUACCUGAGGAAUAAGCCCCGGCUAACUACGUGCCAGCAGCCGCGGUAAU
RNAcentral lists this ribosomal RNA (170 nucleotides) under uncultured bacterium. Its description in RNAcentral is "partial 16S ribosomal RNA". It matches the Rfam family "Bacterial small subunit ribosomal RNA", at positions 338 to 524 of the family's 1533-position model. The record is from RNAcentral.